Molecule: RNA transcript, 1596 nt
Organism: Gossypium arboreum
Lineage: Eukaryota; Viridiplantae; Streptophyta; Magnoliopsida; Malvales; Malvaceae
Exons: 8
Source: RefSeq, a predicted model, not a curated record
AUAUUUAAAAGUUAGAAACCGAGGUCAGCCCAUAGACGCCUCUAAUUUCAUGCGUCAUUGAAGAAAAUGGGAUUCGGUGCAGAUCUAAGGCCCAAACUUCACACUUGAAUUCUUCAUGUUUAAACUCUUUCUUCCUCUUUAACCUAAAACCCUGCAACGCUCAAUAAUCUAAUUUCUGCCUGAGGCCGUCGCCAUCUCUGCAAAUUUUGUAAAAAAAAUGAUAAAGAGGAGGUUUUAUAAAUUUGAACAUGCGGACAAAGAUAAUGUGUCGGAUUCAUCUUCAUCGUCUUCGGACUCUGAACUUGAAGUGGAAGCCUCGGAAGAAUCUGAAUCAGAACCAGAACAAGAAGUUGCUGCUCAAGUAAAUCAAAACAAUCAAGCUUGCUCCUCUUCUUCGGGAUAUGAAAGCGAGGAUAGCUCAGCGAAUGAAGUUGGUGUGGACUCGGCAGGUCUUAUAGAUGAUGAUAAUGAUGAAAGUGAAGAUGAUAAACAAAUAUUUAUCAAUAGGUUACAUACUGAACAUGGUGCUCAAAUUCGGGGAAAAAAAUCGGAUGUCCCAUGCAACAAAGAACCGCUGCCAGAUGAUUUCCCAGCCUGUAUACUGAAAUGCAAGUCAGUUUUUAAGUGCAAGUUAUGCCCAAGGAUUGUCUGUUUGAACGAGGAGACUGCAAGGGCUCACUUUAAUUCCAAGAGGCAUGCUCGAUCUGAGAAAUUACUAAAGGAAGGUAGACUGAAGACUAUGCUUAACAGUGAUGGGGAAAUUGAGAAUCAGGAGACUGCUGCAGAAGCGUAUUCUCCAGUUGUCGCUAUUGAGCAGGAUAAACAGAAAAUGAAACAUAAAGGAGGACGCCAUCGAAGGGGGAAGGGUUCAAAAAGGAAGAGAAUGAGAGAUGAAAAGCAGUCUACAAAAGAUGGAGUCAAAAAGGGGCGUAAGGACGAAAAUUGAAAGCUGUUAAAAGAAUAGACGGGAGAGCAAAGUAAGAAAUAGUUUCCUUCUAGUUUUGCAGAACAGAGUUAUGUAAUGCAACCAACUAACCAUAUUUCCAUGAUAAUAUGCAUCAAAUGCAUGCACCCGGUAUUUAGUUCAAAAACCUAAUUCGGAGGUAACCAUGUGAUCAUGACCAGGGAUGUAAUCGAGCUGAAUCAAGCUCAAGGCUGGAAGCUCUAAUGAAACCCACUUUAAUGCCAAAUCUGGUAACAAUAAUACUGGUUAUAGUCUGCAUAAACAGAAUGGCAAUGUUUGUGAUUUAACAAAACACAAGAUACUCGAAUUUCUUGCAAACACUAAUAAAUAAUAUAUGAGAAAAAUGAGACAAAUAGAGUAUACGUAACAUAGAUUAAAUAAUACUAAACAAAUUGACAAAAGCGUGUUGCUUAGCUACCGGAAUUAGAUUUUAAAAUGAUAUCAAAUUACAAGUGGGUACCGAUACAUAAAAAGUUUUGUCUAAAUUUAUCCGUUCUGAUGAAAAAAAGGAAAUAGAAGCUCUGGCAAAGCCUUGUAUAAUCAUAUCCAUCCAGCAUUUAAGUGCCCAUGAAUAACUUACUCGAUCAAUGAGUUGUUUCGUAGCAUGGUAUACAAGAGGGUAUCACUGGAGG